GACGAACGCUGGCGGCGUGCUUAACACAUGCAAGUCGAACGGAAAGGCCCUGCUCUUGUGGGGUGCUCGAGUGGCGAACGGGUGAGUAACACGUGAGUAACCUGCCCUUGACUUUGGGAUAACUUCAGGAAACUGGGGCUAAUACCGGAUAGGAGCUCCUGCUGCAUGGUGGGGGUUGGAAAGUUUCGGCGGUUGGGGAUGGACUCGCGGCUUAUCCGCUUGUUGGUGGGGUAGUGGCUUACAAAGGCUUUGACGGGUAGCCGGCCUGAGAGGGUGACCGGCCACAAUGGGACUGCGAUACGGCCCAGACUCCUACGGGAGGCAGCAGGGGGGAAUAUUGCACAAUGGGCGGAAGCCUGAGGCAGCAACGCCGCGUGCGGAAUGACGGCCUUCGGGUGGUAAACCGCUUUCGCCUGUGACGAAGCGUGAGUGACGGUAAUGGGUAAAGAAGCACCGGCUAACUACGUG
This 468-nucleotide ribosomal RNA is filed under the name uncultured bacterium. RNAcentral's name for it is "partial 16S ribosomal RNA". It matches the Rfam family "Bacterial small subunit ribosomal RNA", at positions 28 to 507 of the family's 1533-position model. The record is from RNAcentral.